RNAcentral lists this ribosomal RNA (318 nucleotides) under uncultured eukaryote. RNAcentral's name for it is "partial 18S ribosomal RNA". It matches the Rfam family "Eukaryotic small subunit ribosomal RNA", at positions 1470 to 1796 of the family's 1831-position model. The record is from RNAcentral.
CCCUUAGAUGUUCUGGGCCGCACACGCGCUACACUGAAGGAGGCAGCGUGUACUCCUGGAUCGAAAGAUUUGGGUAACCCGCGAAUCUCCUUCGUGCUAGGGAUUGAGGUUUGCAAUUAUCCUUCAUGAACGAGGAAUUCCCAGUAAGUGCAAGUCAUAAGCUUGCGCUGACUACGUCCCUGCCCUUUGUACACACCGCCCGUCGCACCUACCGAUUGAAUGGUCCGGUGAAAUCUCGGGACGGCGGCUUGGUCGCUUGCGUCCGACUGCUGAAACUUGAUUAAACCAUNUNAUUUAGNGGAAGGUGAANUCGUANCA